AUACUUACCUGGCAGGGGAGAUACUGUGAUCCUGAAGGUGGUUUUCACAGGGUGAGGCUUAUCCAUUGUAUUCCAGAUGUGCUGACCCUUGCAAUUUCCCCAAAUGUGGGAAACAUGACUAAUAAUUUGUGGUAGUGAGGGACUAU
This 146-nucleotide small nuclear RNA is filed under the name Carlito syrichta (Philippine tarsier). Its description in RNAcentral is "U1 spliceosomal RNA (ENSTSYG00000021205.2)". It matches the Rfam family "U1 spliceosomal RNA", at positions 1 to 149 of the family's 166-position model. From Rfam's summary of the family: U1 is a small nuclear RNA (snRNA) component of the spliceosome (involved in pre-mRNA splicing). Its 5' end forms complementary base pairs with the 5' splice junction, thus defining the 5' donor site of an intron. Lineage: Eukaryota; Metazoa; Chordata; Mammalia; Primates; Tarsiidae. The record is from Rfam by way of RNAcentral.